RNAcentral lists this long non-coding RNA (297 nucleotides) under Lynx pardinus (Iberian lynx). The record is from RNAcentral. Lineage: Eukaryota; Metazoa; Chordata; Mammalia; Carnivora; Felidae.
AGCGGGUCCACUCGCUCUUUCUGGACGAGUCGCGCUCUACACAGUACAUGAAGGAGUACCAGGAUGCCUUUCUCUUCAAUGAGCUCAGUGAGUGUCCCCUGCUGCCCCUCCCUCACCCCCCCAGUCCCAGAGGGCUCAGUCCCAGCCCCCUGACCACAUGGCCUUCCUUCUCCUCACAGAAGGCGAAACCAUGGACACCUCCUGAGCUGAUGUGACCCUCGCCCUCCCUCCCCCCCCCGCUCUGUUUUCUAUUGGAGUUCUGACACUGUGACUUUGUAUAAAAUGGUUCUGAUAUCG